Molecule: non-coding RNA, 458 nt
Organism: Paramuricea clavata
Lineage: Eukaryota; Metazoa; Cnidaria; Anthozoa; Malacalcyonacea; Plexauridae
Source: the annotation of a GenBank genome assembly
AGGAGAUUCUAAGUUUUGAAGGAUCUGUAAGACUUAUUGUUUAAGGCCGAGUCAUGCAGUUCCUAGCUUAGACAUUUCAAACAAAUUCUUCAAAAUUAUAUUUUAUACGUAAAUUGUUUGCAAUUUUGUUUCGGAUUACGCAUCGAUGAUAGAAAGGCGAUUCUCUAUUUGUUUAUACGACUUUAGCUAUUGCAAGAAUUUCAUUCUCGCUACUGAAUUCCAACAAAUCUAGUUUAAACCGCCGCGUGUUCGACUUGCACAUUAAUGAAAUACUGUUUUGAUAAUUCUUUCGGAUCGAUGAUUUUGUACUUUCAAUAUAUUGUUCCUUUGUGAUAAAACGUGUAUAAGAUAUUGCGUUCAUAUAAAUUAUUGCAUGUCCGGUUAAUUGUGAUAUAGCUGUUUCUAUCCAAAAUCGACAUAUAUACAUGAUCUUUCUCAAAGUAAAACUAUUCAUGAAC